Molecule: long non-coding RNA, 309 nt
Filed under: Mytilus galloprovincialis (Mediterranean mussel)
Lineage: Eukaryota; Metazoa; Mollusca; Bivalvia; Mytilida; Mytilidae
Source: RNAcentral
AACCUUUUUAGCAAUUAUUUCUAGGUCAGUCUUCUAAAUUUAGAAACAGUCAUAUUAGACCGGUAAUAUAAAAGCCUAUCGCAUUAUAUGUUAUAUCAUAGCAAACUAGAUUUUGCAAAAAGACUUCUUUUUAACAUUAGUGCCCUUGAAACUUUCUCUUUUGUUCCAUCGCACUUUAGCGUGCUAUACCAUUGCACUUUAGCAAACAAACAACCAUCGCACUUUAGCGUGAGACACCAUCGUACUUUAGCGUAAACCAUCACACUUUAGCGUGACCAUCGCACUUUAGAGUACAAUCGCACUUUAGAG